CAGGUUCUUUUCCUCAUUCCAUUCCUUAUAAACAGGACUGUAAUCUUUGUGGUCUGUGCAGAAUAAUGUGUGUUUGCUGUUAAGGGCAGACCAACAUUUCCCAUUCCUCAUAUUCUCCCCAGUUGCAAAGUAUUCCAAAGAGAAGGGGUGGGGGUCAGGUCCCAGGGGUAUGGGCAUAAGACAAGCUCAGAGCACAUAAGAUAUAGGCCUACCGUAAUCGCUUGUUUCCAGUAAGAUUGCUG
This is a small nucleolar RNA of Hemicordylus capensis (graceful crag lizard), 242 nucleotides long. NCBI's taxonomy places the organism in Eukaryota, Metazoa, Chordata, Lepidosauria, Squamata, Cordylidae. The record is from RefSeq and is a predicted model, not a curated record.